CAAUGAGCAGCUGCUUAGUGGCGGGAGGGCGGGGUACCCUGGCGGCUCUCCGCUCGCUCUGGCGCUCUGCUCUUUCCGGUCAUGGAGACGCUAGCCACCCGCUUGUUUUUGCUCCUGUGGCUAGGGGCCUGGGCGCCCGCCCCGGGCAGCGCCUCCUCCGAGGUACCCUCGCUGAUCAACGAGGAGGUGAAGCGCACAGUGGACCUAAGCAGCCACCUGGCAAAGGUGACGGCCGAGGUGGUCCUGGCGCACCUGGGCAGCGGCUCCACUUCCCGAGCUACCUCUUUCUUACUGGCUUUGGAGCCCGAUCUCGAGGCUCGGCUGGCGCAUCUGGGCGUGCAGGUGAAGGGAGAAGAUGAGGAAGAGAACAAUUUGGAAGUACGUGAAACCAAAAUUAAGGGUAAAAGUGGGAAAUUCUUCACAGUCAAGCUCCCAGUUGCCCUUGAUCCUGGGGCCAAGAUUUCAAGUCAUUGUGGAGACAGUCUACACCCCAUGUGCUUCAGCCCGUAUUCCAACCCAGAUCACCCAGUCAGAGAAACAGUUUGUGGUGUUUGAGGGGAACCAUUAUUUCUACUAUCCCUAUCCAACGAGACACAAACCAUGCGUGUGAAGCUUGCCUCCCGAAACGUGAGAGCUACACCAAAGCUGGGGAACCCCACACGCUCUGAGGACCAUGCUGGAUUAUGGGCCUUUUCAGAGAUGUCCCUGCCUAUAGUCAUG
Saimiri boliviensis boliviensis (Bolivian squirrel monkey) is the source of this 720-nucleotide non-coding RNA. The record is from RefSeq and is a predicted model, not a curated record. NCBI's taxonomy places the organism in Eukaryota, Metazoa, Chordata, Mammalia, Primates, Cebidae.